UUUUUUUUGAAACUCAAAAAAUGCAAAAUGCUUUUUCUCCCCCCCUUCUGAUCCUAAGGCCAGCUCAGACAACAGACAUUUGUUUAGAGAGAACAGACUGGAGUUCUGGUGGAAGGAAGGACAAAUACAAAACUUCACUUUGUCAAAGAAAGCAUGGAGAAAAUCAAGUACAGAGCACAAGUCCACCAGGAAAACUUAAAAGGUAAGUUUAUAUGAUGGGAGGGGGGAGAAAACCCCCUUGUUCUUUCUGUUCAUACUCAGAUGAUUAGUACAUUUGAAACUGAGGAUGGCUUUAUUAACUUCUUUGCAAUGAACAUGUUUGGAUUUUUAUGUUAGUGGUAGAUAUGCAAAGAGGAGAAAAAUCUGCAUAAUAAACAUAAUAAUUGUCUUUUUACUAGUCCUGGAACUAGUCAAUCACCUAGCAAAUUUAAGCCUUUGGAUAUUCAAGUAUUAGAAAUCUAGAUUUUGAAGCAACAGCUUGGGUUUCCAUGGUCCCACCAGAGGCUGAGGCAAAGCAGCUGAAGUUACUGCAGUUAGUUAUGCCCGCACUGCAUUGAUGCCCAAACAGACUAAAUUAAGAAAUCAUACUUAAGAUGUUUGUUCUAUAAAUAUCACUUUUUCCAUUUAAAUGCACGUGUAGCUCAUUUCAAAUAUGUCUUGUGACAAAGUGUUUAAUUGCAAUAUGCAUGGAACAGGUCAAAUAAAAUAUACCAGUCUCCUGAGAAGAACAAAGACAGGGAAACCCUCCUGAAUUUUACCAAGCUCUUACACUCUCUUUUGUUUUUUAUGCAAGCAAGUAAGUAAAACAAUUAUGUAUCUUGAUUUUAUUUUGCAUUGCAACUCUCUGCAUUACUUGGAUAGAGAGCAGAAUUGAAAAAAAAAAACCACACAAAAAAAGGGGAUCCAUUCCCUAAUCUAGUAGCAUUCCACACAGACAGCUGUGCUUGCACGAGAGGACAUGGGAGAAAAAAUUAAUCAAAGGAGAGAAAAAUCAGUACUUUACCUAUAGUGCAGCUUGUUAUCAAUUCAUUGCAGGUUUAGAUUAUUUCUUUUCUGAGGCCAAGCAGGCAUCAGUAAGUGCUCACUGGAUGCAUUCAGCCCCAGCUGAGGAGACAUACUGCUUAAACCUCAGAGACUUCCCCAUCCCACAGGAAGGUAAAAAUCCAAAAAGCUGUAAUUCUUUAAGCACCGACUACUAAUUUACUUGGAACCAUUUCCAAAGAGCAGCAGAAGAUGGUUUCAAUAAAGAAAACAGGGUUUUGAGACAAAAUUGCAACAUUAUGAUUUAAUGGAAACAAAGAUAAAGGCUAGAUUCCUUUAUGCUUGAGUGACAAGCCAUGCAGAUGUCUUUCCUUUCUAAAGAAACUGCUAGUGAAAGGGUCUGAACUGAAUAUGCUAAAGGGUGCAAGUCAAUAUUUUGUGUUAAACUGCUGAUUUCCUUAUCAGAACAGUGAAACAAAGUUUAGCAUAACACCUUGAGCCCUACAAAUUCUGCACAGUUGUGUUUAAGCCAGGUAUAAACCCAGGUUACUCUGUUAAAAGAAUUCUUCUAAAGUAAUCCAGAAUAACAAUUUAAUUGCACUUGUGUUUCUUGGGCCACGGAAAAUUCAGGAACUUUAUCCUAGGACUGUGUUAGUGAAUUACAGGAACUUCCCAGUGAGAGAAUGCAGACAGUAAAAAUGAGCAUCUUAGGAACAGCAGGCUUAUGCAGCAAAGCUAUUGUCCAAGAUGUGAAGCAACAAUUACUGCCUGGGCCAAAAAACAUCUCAUUUGUGAGAGGAACUUCAGCCUUUAGAUCCAAAUUCUAGAUCUGUGCUUGCCAAGGUCUGUUAUUUAACAAAAAACUGCUUCCAACCAUGAGGAAAGACCCUGAACCAAAGAAGCAGAACAGGACUGAGUACUCUGAGCAAUACUGCAAAGCUGCAGUAUCUGGGCAUCAGCCAGAGCCAUCCUUAUCACAAAAGGUGUCAGGUCAAAACUCACUGCAGCUGAUGGCCUCCUAAAAAGAGACAAUGCACAGCCAAAAUGAGAAAAAAGAACAUAAGCUGGUAUUACCAAGAGGUUCUGAGGGGACACCCUGGGCAUUAAGAGACCUUUUACAGGAUUCUGUCCUAAGCAACAGCAAGGAUUUAAGAUAAUGGAGCAACUUUGCUUUUUACUAAGCCUAAUAGUUCCUGCAAAGAGGAUGAGGGAAAUUAAUUAAUUUAAAUACAUAUGGCCUGCAGUGAGUGGCUGCACAUUUUGAUCUUCUUGCCUUUGGGGUUUCAGUGCUUUUUAAGCUCCAACAUGGUAUGACCUUUCAUGACUUUCAUAGCAGACCAUUCCUACUGUCCUUCAUUCUGCUCUCUGUAUGCACCCAGAUCAAACAAUCCUUUCAAUUUAAAGCACAGUAGGACUGUAGCUGCUACCUCAAAACACCCCUAAAGAUGUCCAGGGGUUGAAAUGGAGAUGCUAAACAUCUUCCACAAAGCACACCCACUUUCCAACAUACAUUAGAAGAGAUGUGUUGGUAAGUACUGCUCAAGUCACUUUUGCAGGAGGGGGUUUUCUGCCUUCUCUUUUAUUGAUAGUUCACACACUGUCCUUUCAAGCACUGAAUUUGGCAAAUGGUUCACCCCUCACCCACAAAUGCACACAUGGUCUAAACUUCUAACAUCUCUAAAAUCUUCUAAAUCUAAAACUACCUGUCUCUUUUUCACAUUGGUUCACAGAGCUUUCAUGGAGUGGUAAAAAGAAUGCCAGGAGUAUUUAAUUUCACUUUUAUAACACAGAUCUCUUUCCACAUUAUUGAACAUUAAAUCCUCCAUUAUCAGUUAAGCACAGGAUUGUGCUUUAUUUCCACAUAAUGUUGUCUUGCCUUCAUUGAAAGCUCUCCUUGAAAAUUCUUCACAUUUUGUUUCUGGUUGGUUUUGUUUUGAACAAACUGCUUUGCAACUACACUGAAAUAAACAACCCCAAAAAUACCAAAGCACACAGACUUUGGAAGCAGACAAACAUACAUUUCAUUUUCUUUACCUUCCCCUCCUUUGCUACUUCUGAAAUAAAACAAAACUUGCUGGAUUUCAUAUCAAAGUGUAUCUUACAAGCUCUCAAGCAGUAAAUUAAAUAGUUGUGAGGAAAAAAAAAAUCAACCAAUGAACUUGAUUUGUGAACCAUCAGCAGAGUAGAAGAGAAGGUGGUGUUGGACAGACCAAAAAAUUGCCAGUGUUUCUCAUCCAUUUAGAAUUUCCACCAUCAGCCAAUAACAAUGUGGAGAAAGGAGCACCACACACAACAAACAAGUGGUAAGUGGAACCUGCUAAGUCCUUAGGUAACUCUUCCUGCUACCAGUCCCUACAAAGCUUUCCAGUUAUGUACUUGAAAGACCAGGGGAAAGACCUGGGGAUUUACAAGCCUGAGGUUGUCACAGCAGCUGAUUCUCACCAACAUCCCAGUUCCUAGCAGGGUCCUUAAGGAACAGGCAUUUACAUUAGGCAAUGUCCAUGCAAAUUUUGCUGCUUUGGCUCUGUCCAAGACACAUCCAUAACAGGUAAAAGGUACCACUGAGACAGUUCUGGUGAGAUAUAUAGCUUUCUUUCAUUGAUCCCAACUGCUUCCAGGACAGAUGAUGCUGUACACAGAGUAAGGACUAGACUUUAGCCUAGUUCUUAACUAUUCAAAAAAUUACAGGUAAGUUUGCCAACACACAAAGAAACUAAAUUUAAAAAACCCCAAUUCUGAAUGUAUAUACAUGUAUAUAAAAAGAUAUUCCAGUGUCUGUGCAAAACACUGAAGUGACCACUUAUGCCUUUUUUUUCCCCUCCAAUAUUUCCCUGAAAGAAAGGGAUAAUCUUAUUUCACCAAGCCUCUCUUCAGAAUUCAUUGCUUCUGACAUGAAGACUCUUCUCCAACUCUAAGUCAGGAAUUAUAUCUCUAUCUGCAGUGUGAGGCAUCAGGAAUAAGAGAGCAUUUUAUUUUUCCAAAGCUGGCAAGUUGUUUAUUAAAUCUGCAACUUCUCUGAGAUAACAUGCUCCAAAAGAAUUAAUAGGAACUCAUUUGUUUAUGGACGAAGAGUGACAAGAAUGUCUAUGUCCCAAGUACCAAAAGAAGAAAGUAAUCACUUUUCUCAAAUGCAGGUCAUGUGUUUUCUCAAUACAAUUCAGCCAUGUAAUAUUUAAACCAUCCUACAUUCACUAAGACCAUCAACGUUUUCUAGAAGAUUCACAGAGUAUUUUCAGGCACGGGCAAACUUCUUUUUCAGAUGAAGCUCCAAUUUUCAGAAGUAUACCAUUUCCCUGGGUAAAAGUCUGAAAACAGAUUUGAAAUCACCUCAGGGAUCAGUUUCCUAUUGGUGUCUAGGAUGUCACUCACCUUCACAAUUCUUAGGAAAAUGCAAAAUCCUUAUGUAUGACUAAUUUAAUCUACAGACAUCAAAAACCAUUCAAUCCUACAGCUACUUCACUCUGCAGAAAUCAGCAUUACCACCUCCUCCCAUUCUUUCAUAAGUGUAUUUGCACAAGUUUUGAUAUAACAUUUGAAGAAACACUCCAACAAUUGAGCAUUCAUGUCUGUUCAGGUGUUGCAGGAGUUUUUAUACGUAAUUAGUGCUCUCAUUUGAGCUGUCUUACCCCUCUGACAGCUUUCCUUUCAGUAUAAUGAACAAGGCAGCACAAGUUCUGUUUCAAACCUCAAUCUUAACAGCUUGAAACUGCUGAGACAGAAAAGCAGUGAGCUGCAAGAGGUACAGCUGACCAUACACACAUGCACCAGUGCUUCAAAUAACACAAUCGCAAUAUCACCCUUCUUACAGGAAAAUAAAGCAGUAUUCUCAGCCUCUGCUGAUAAUUCACUUAUAAUUCACUUUUUUAAGCCAUUGUCCUUAGCUGUAACUUCAGCUAUUAUAUAUGGUCAUUAUACAAAAAAGGCUGUAAUAAUUACUUUUUUAUCACUUUUAAACUGUCAAUAUGAAACUUGCAUUCAUUUUGUCCAAACCCAAGAUUUUUAAUACACAUUGGAUUAAAUUUCCUUUAUUGUGUGCAUACUAACAAGUUAUCUACUACAAACACUGUUAACCAGUUUUAGACCUACACUUAACAUCAAGUGUAUUUCACUUCAUUCUCGUUUUAACCCACAUAACCCAACCUCCCUUCAGGUCUUUAUUCAGUUUUCCCUGGCUCUGUACUACCGUCCCCAAAUAGAAACUAACAAGUGCUAACCACUGUUAUCAAUGAACAGACUCCUAAGAGGCACUCACUUUUGGACUCAUUUCUCUCUCUGGUCACAUCCAUGGCAGCAUCAUGAUCCUGCAAACACAGCUGUGACGCUCAGCACAGACACUCAACACUUCAGGGCUGCCAUGAAAAACCCACCAAGACCAUGCAAUAGACUAAGUAAAACAACACUGCUUUGAAAGUCACAGUGCCCCAGUGAUCUGGGACAAGUUUGGACAAAGCACAGGCCAAAAAGUUUCACCCAGGAACACAGCUAUGUUUUUGCAACCAAGGAAACCCUGCACCCUUCAGUACACAACUGCAGCAGCAAAAGGGAACAUUAAACAGAGCUGGGAGAAAAAGACAGAGAGGCCACUUGUUUCCUAAGCCCAGCAGUGCAUACUACCUUUUACUACCCUCAUUUCCUUGGACACACAACCCACACCCUCAUCUCUAACAGGUUUUUAUAUUCUUCUCCUAAAGGAACUCUAAUGCUAGGUUACAGAAGAUGCCAAUAUACUUUAAAAGAACCCACAACCCUAACAUUUGGGAAAAUACUGAGUCUCCUGUACAAUUAAACCAACGAAGUCUGUGUACACAAUGACUGGUUUUAGCUGUACAAAUUACAUUCUAAUGCAGCUUGCAAACAGUUGGCCUGCAGGCCAACAUGCAAUUUAAAGUGACGAGUCCAUUUUCAAAACCUAAUUAAAAAUAUUAGACAGCAAGAUCUCCCAGGCUGCGUAGACACAGACUAGAACAGAGCCUAUGCCAAAUGCAUGGUGGCAUUCUUUGAGCAGUUAGCAUGGGCAAAAGUGACAACUUCACCUCAUGCUUGUUCUUGUACAAAAACGUAACUUAAGCAGCUGCAGCUACUAAAAUAUUGAAAUAAGCAAGGAAAAUAGAGCACUGUAUGUAAUUUGGGAGACUGAGAUGUUACCAGCUAUGUUAGGUAUACAUAGUCCAGGAAAAGCAGAGGAAUGGGAGUAUCUUGGCAUCACAUGGAAUCCAGAGAGUAGCUGUACAGCAUAGCUGUGGCAGAGAGCAAGAAGCCAUCAUCACUUAGUGAGAAUUUAAGAGUGUUUUGCAAGACUGUGGGAAGGGAACAAUUUCCACCAUCCUCAGUUAUAACUGAGUUAUUAUAACUCAUUAUUAUAUAUAAAUAUAUAUAAGUUGUUAUAACAACUGCAUACUCCAAAAGACUCAAGCCCAGAUGUGUCUUCCCAACAGGGCAGCUACUGGGGGCAGUACUCAGAAUCCUGCAGAAUUGCAGGAUCCUCAGCCGUAUCUCCACUUCUAAAGAUGCCAUGAAAUCGGUGGCCUGUCACUCAAAAUAUGCCCUUCUUUUGCUUGAAUAAUUGUAAGUGUGAAUCAGAUAAGGAGAUUUAUCCCCUGCAGCCUUUUUCCUAUCACUCACAGUCUAAAAAUAUGUAUAUAAAUGGAUCGUUUCCACACGUAUUUGUUGUUUUCAUUUGAAAGCAGAAAUGUAGGUUUCACAGAUUAACAUUCCUAGAUCAGUUAAACAAUUUUAAUGUUUUUGUUUAUUUUUAUUUUUUUUAAAUCAAACAGCCAAAAACUAAAAGUAGAAAGACUCACAAGUAGUUUUUCAUAAGCCUAGGAAACUUAAACAAUUUAACAAAGAAGCCAGCACUUUAAGAACAGUUAGUAAUAUACAGCUGAUAUCCUGUCUUUCAAAGGCCAAGUCAUUUUGGAAUUCCCAUUAAUAAAAUUUAAAAA
Passer montanus (Eurasian tree sparrow) is the source of this 6923-nucleotide long non-coding RNA. RefSeq lists it as uncharacterized. NCBI's taxonomy places the organism in Eukaryota, Metazoa, Chordata, Aves, Passeriformes, Passeridae. The transcript has 3 exons. The record is from RefSeq and is a predicted model, not a curated record.